AAAAUCUUUUAAAAUUAAAAAAAUAUUUCAAAAUAACUUGAAACAUACAUAUUAUAAGCCUUAAUAAUAUCCUAAUCUCUUCCAAUUCCAAUAUUUCUAAUAUCAAAAUCUUUAUUUAUCAUAUAAAUACCCGCAAUGUAGGUCUGUGGGAGACGACGAUCCAAUCGAACAGAUGCGAAUGGAUGAUGUCGCUAAAGUUUUUUUCCUCUGUUUGCUGGAGUAAAAAAGGCGAGAGGACCACAGCGAGAGAGACGGAGGGCUCUGCAAUUCACGCGGAACUUGUGAAGCUGGAGUUUCAAAUGCAAAUGAAUUUGUAUCCUACAAAUGGGGAAGUACUGAUAAGUUUUGUAAUGUCUUUCGAAUAUGUUGCUCAAAUUCAUAUUCAAUUUGUAGUUUUCCUCAAAUCUGAGUGCCUAACAUAAUUACAGCGCCCAAUAAA
Molecule: small RNA, 439 nt
Filed under: Drosophila mojavensis
Lineage: Eukaryota; Metazoa; Arthropoda; Insecta; Diptera; Drosophilidae
Description: GI25826
Source: RNAcentral